AACGAACGCUGGCGGCAUGCCUAACACAUGCAAGUCGAACGAGACCUUCGGGUCUAGUGGCGCACGGGUGCGUAACGCGUGGGAAUCUGCCCCUUGGUUCGGAAUAACAGUUAGAAAUGACUGCUAAUACCGGAUGAUGACUUCGGUCCAAAGAUUUAUCGCCAAGGGAUGAGCCCGCGUAAGAUUAGGUAGUUGGUGGGGUAAAGGCCUACCAAGCCGACGAUCUUUAGCUGGUCUGAGAGGAUGAUCAGCCACACUGGGACUGAGACACGGCCCAGACUCCUACGGGAGGCAGCAGUGGGGAAUAUUGGACAAUGGGCGAAAGCCUGAUCCAGCAAUGCCGCGUGAGUGAUGAAGGCCUUAGGGUUGUAAAGCUCUUUUACCAGGGAUGAUAAUGACAGUACCUGGAGAAUAAGCUCCGGCUAACUCCGUG
This 433-nucleotide ribosomal RNA is filed under the name uncultured bacterium. Its description in RNAcentral is "bacterial SSU rRNA". It matches the Rfam family "Bacterial small subunit ribosomal RNA", at positions 29 to 507 of the family's 1533-position model. The record is from RNAcentral.